CCCUGCCAUUUGUACACACCGCCCGUCGCUACUACCGAUUGAAUGGUUUAGUGAGAUCUUUGGACUAAAUAAGAAGAUGAUUAUUCAUUUUCUUUUUUUUAGGAAGCUGAUCUAACUUGAUCAUUUAG
This 128-nucleotide ribosomal RNA is filed under the name uncultured eukaryote. Its description in RNAcentral is "partial small subunit ribosomal RNA". It matches the Rfam family "Eukaryotic small subunit ribosomal RNA", at positions 1651 to 1776 of the family's 1831-position model. The record is from RNAcentral.